GGUAAUGCCGGAUGCUCCGACUCCUCGCAUGGGGUGUCGGGAAAGAUUUCAUCGGUAUGGGAUGGGGUCGCGUCCUAUCAGGUAGUCGGCGGGGUAACGGCCCACCGAGCCUACGACGGGUAGCCGGCCUGAGAGGGCGACCGGCCACAUUGGGACUGAGAUACGGCCCAGACUCCUACGGGAGGCAGCAGUGGGGAAUAUUGCACAAUGGGCGCAAGCCUGAUGCAGCGACGCCGCGUGCGGGAUGACGGCCUUCGGGUUGUAAACCGCUUUUGAUCGGGAGCAAGCCUUCGGGUGAGUGUACCUUUCGAAUAAGCACCGGCUAACUACGUGCCAGCAGCCGCGGUAAUACGUAGGGUGCAAGCGUUAUCCGGAAUUAUUGGGCGUAAAGGGCUCGUAGGCGGUUCGUCGCGUCCGGUGUGAAAGUCCAUCGCUUAACGGUGGAUCUGCGCCGGGUACGGGCGGGCUGGAGUGCGGUAGGGGAGACUGGAAUUCCCGGUGUAACGGUGGAAUGUGUAGAUAUCGGG
RNAcentral lists this ribosomal RNA (527 nucleotides) under Bifidobacterium pseudocatenulatum. RNAcentral describes it as "bacterial SSU rRNA". It matches the Rfam family "Bacterial small subunit ribosomal RNA", at positions 162 to 701 of the family's 1533-position model. Lineage: Bacteria; Bacillati; Actinomycetota; Actinomycetes; Bifidobacteriales; Bifidobacteriaceae. The record is from RNAcentral.